GACGAACGCUGGCGGCGUGCUUAACACAUGCAAGUCGAACGGUGAAGCGCCUUCCUUUUUGGUGGGUGUGGAUGAGUGGCGAACGGGUGAGUAACACGUGAGUAACCUGCCCCCUUCUUCUGGAUAACCGCAUGAAAGUGUGGCUAAUACGGGAUAUUCUGGGUCUGUCGCAUGAUGGGUCUGGGAAAGAUAUUGUUUCGGUGGGGGAUGGGCUCGCGGCCUAUCAGCUUGUUGGUGGGGUGAUGGCCUACCAAGGCGGUGACGGGUAGCCGGCCUGAGAGGGUGGACGGUCACACUGGGACUGAGACACGGCCCAGACUCCUACGGGAGGCAGCAGUGGGGAAUAGUGCACAAUGGUCGCAAGCCUGAUGCAGCGACGCCGCGUGAGGGAUGGAGGCCUUCGGGUUGUGAACCUCUUUCGCCAGUGAAGCAGGCCUGCCUCGUUUGUGGGUGGGUUGACGGUAGCUGGAUAAGAAGCGCCGGCUAACUACGUG
RNAcentral lists this ribosomal RNA (494 nucleotides) under uncultured bacterium. RNAcentral's name for it is "partial 16S ribosomal RNA". It matches the Rfam family "Bacterial small subunit ribosomal RNA", at positions 28 to 507 of the family's 1533-position model. The record is from RNAcentral.